GAUGAACGCUGGCGGCGUGCCUAAUACAUGCAAGUCGAGCGAACAGACGAGGAGCUUGCUCCUCUGACGUUAGCGGCGGACGGGUGAGUAACACGUGGAUAACCUACCUAUAAGACUGGGAUAACUUCGGGAAACCGGAGCUAAUACCGGAUAAUAUAUUGAACCGCAUGGUUCAAUAGUGAAAGACGGUUUUGCUGUCACUUAUAGAUGGAUCCGCGCCGCAUUAGCUAGUUGGUAAGGUAACGGCUUACCAAGGCAACGAUGCGUAGCCGACCUGAGAGGUUGAUCGGCCACACUGCAACUGAGACUCGGUCCAGACACCUACGGGAGGCAGCAGUAGGAAAUCUUGCGCAAUGUGCGAAAGCCUGACGAAGCGACACCGCGUGAGUGAUGAUGGUCUUCGGAUCGUAAAACUCUGUUAUUAGGGAAGAACAAUUGUGUAAGUAACUAUACACGUCUUGACGGUACCUAAGCAGAAAGCCACGGCUAACUACGUG
This 497-nucleotide ribosomal RNA is filed under the name uncultured bacterium. RNAcentral describes it as "partial 16S ribosomal RNA". It matches the Rfam family "Bacterial small subunit ribosomal RNA", at positions 28 to 507 of the family's 1533-position model. The record is from RNAcentral.